GGAAACGCUGUCAAGAUGUCAAAAAUACGCGGAAAGGGAAAAAAGGAAUUGCUACGGAAAGAGAGGUGGGAGAGGAACCCAGUCAAUUUCACCUGCUCCCCUUCCUCCAGGAAGAAUCGGAACCGAAAGCUUAAUAAGUGUGGUUGUUUUGAUAUUCGAAUCAUGAGACCCAAGGCAUCGUAGGGGACCUCGCCUGCAUCCAUUCGCCUAUCCAUCCUACAGCAGCGACUGCACCCCUGAUUGUGAUGACGAAUGCACCCCCAUCCUUGGGCUCCGUGCCCACUGCUGGGCUGGGCUGCUCCCUCAGGUGCGGCAGCCAGAGGAGGUGUGGACUCCCAUCCCACGCGUUUAUCCUCCUGCAGCCUCUCGAGCUUGGUGGCAUAGCCGUCCUUCCAGUCCCCAAGCCAGAUGUCCUUGAUGCCCCUUCUCCCAGCCCCAUCCCCAUCGCCAGUUGUAUCAGUUUUCUAUUGCUACUGUAACAACUCACUACAAAUUGAGUGGCUUAAAACAACACACAUCUACUCUCUUACAGUUCUAUAGGUCAGAAAUCUGACAUGGUCUCAGAGGGCUAAAUUCAAGGUGUCUGCAGGACAGUGUUCCUGCUGGAGGCUCUUGAGGGAGAAUCGGUUUCCUUGCCUUUUCCAAGUAUAGAGGCCGCCCACAUUGGCCCCCUUCCGUCUUCAAAGCCAGCAAUAGCUCCGAGUCUUUCCUCCCUAGCAUCGCUGUGACGCUGACUCUCCUGCCUCCCUCUUCCACAUUUAAGAACCUUGUGAUUACAUUGGUCCUCCCAGAUAAUCCAGAAUAAUCUCCCCAUCGCAAAAUCAGCUGAUUAGCAACCUCAAUUCCACCUGCAACCUUAAUUCUCCCCUGUCAUGAAAUAUAAGAAGGAGAUCCAUAUGUUCCGGGGAUUGGGAUGCAGACAUUUUGGAGGCAUUGUUCUGCCGACCACGCCAUCCUGACAGUUUUACCUCUGGAAUCUCUGCAG
This is a long non-coding RNA of Homo sapiens (human), 985 nucleotides long. Ensembl annotates it as IER5L antisense RNA 1. Its record names the gene IER5L-AS1. Lineage: Eukaryota; Metazoa; Chordata; Mammalia; Primates; Hominidae. The record is from Ensembl.